This 1381-nucleotide ribosomal RNA is filed under the name metagenome. Its description in RNAcentral is "bacterial LSU rRNA". It matches the Rfam family "Bacterial large subunit ribosomal RNA", at positions 1553 to 2925 of the family's 2925-position model. The record is from RNAcentral.
AGUCCGAAACGUGAUGGCGGUGCCUUAGAGCCACAAGUGAUUGAGCCAUGCCGCCAAGAAAAGCUUCUAAGCGUCGAGAUUUGAGUGACCGUACCGCAAACCGACACUGGUAGGUGGGUAGAAUAUACCAAGGGGAGCGAGAGAACCCUCGUUAAGGAAUUAGGCAAAUUUCCCCCGUACGUUCGCAAUAAGGGGGGCCUCUGGCGGUUAGCUAGGCAAAGCUGCUGGAGGCCGCAGAGAAAUGGCUCUUCCAACUGUUUAACAAAAACACAGGUCUCUGCUAAGUCGAAAGACGAAGUAUAGGGGCUGACGCCUGCCCAGUGCUGGAAGGUUAAGGGGAGAGGUUAGGGGUAACCCGAAGCUUUGAGCCGAAGCCCCAGUGAACGGCGGCCGUAACAAUAACGGUCCUAAGGUAGCGAAAUUCCUUGUCGGGUAAGAUCCGACCCGCACGAAUGGCGUAAUGAGAGGAGCACUGUCUCAACGAGGGACUCGGCGAACAUUGAAGGACGUGUGAAGAUACACGUGACCCGCAGCGGGACAAAAAGACCCCGUGAAGCUUUACUACAACUUGCCAUUGAGUUAGGGCUAAACCUGUGUAGCAUAGGUGGGAGGCUUUGAAGCUGGGACGCCAGUCUCGGUGGAGCCACCGUUGAAAUACCACCCUGGUUUAUUCUUGGCUCUAACCUGUCGCCGUUAUCCGGCAUGGGAACAGUGGCUGGUGGGUAGUUUGACUGGGGCGGUCGCCUCCGAAAGCGUAGCAGAGGCGCCCAAAGGUUCCCUCAGGCUGAAUGGAAACCAGCCGUUGAGUGUAAAGGCACAAGGGAGCUUGACUGCAAGACCUACAAGUCGCGCAGGGACGAAAGUCGGGCUUAGUGAUCCCACGGUUCAGAGUGGAAUGGCCGUGGCUUACCGGAUAAAAGCUACUCCGGGGAUAACAGGGUAGUCUGGUCCAAGAGUUCAUAUCGACGACCAGGUUCGCCACCUCGAUGUCGGCUCAUCACAUCCUGGGGCUGGAUAGGGUCCCAAGGGUUGGGCUGUUCGCCCAUUAAAGUGGUACGUGAGCUGGGUUCAGACCGUCGUGAGACAGGUCGGUCUCUAUCCGCUGUGGGCGUAAGGGAUUUGAGAGAAGCCGCCCCUAGUACGAGAGGACCCGGGUGGACGGACCUCUAGUGUGCCAGUUGUUCUGCCAAGAGCAUUGCUGGGUAGCUACGUCCGGCAGAGAUAACCGCUGAAAGCAUCUAAGUGGGAAACUCGUCUCAAGAUUAGAUCCCUCCUCUUUAUGAGGUAAGACCGCUGGAAGACUACCAGCUUGAUAGGCGGCAGGUGUAAGCAUAGUAAUAUGUUCAGCUUAGCCGUACUAAUGGUCGUAAGGCUUACAUUG